Molecule: ribosomal RNA, 551 nt
Filed under: Hoeocryptus bellicosus
Lineage: Eukaryota; Metazoa; Arthropoda; Insecta; Hymenoptera; Ichneumonidae
Description: partial 28S large subunit ribosomal RNA
Rfam family: Eukaryotic large subunit ribosomal RNA
Source: RNAcentral
GUUCAGACCCCCGGUUGCCCGACCGGCUGCCCGGCGGUACUCGCACGGUAUCUGGCCGCAAACAUUCGAACUGCGUCCGGCCCGUCGCAAGCGAGACAAGUGUUUCCCGGUUGUACGGAUCCAAUGCCGUCACCGGGCCUUGUCAGCUGUUGGUUGACGGUGUCCUAGGACUGGCUAAUACAAUUAUGAUACCGGUCGGCGACGCUACUGCUUUGGGUACUUUCAGGACCCGUCUUGAAACACGGACCAAGGAGUCUAACAUGUGCGCGAGUCAUUGGGAACUAUUAAGCCUAAAGGCGCAAUGAAAGUGAAGGUCGGCCUUGCGCCGACCGAGGGAGGAUGGGCCGCGUCAUGUUAUGCGGUCCCGCACUCCCGGGGCGUCUCGUUCUCAUUGCGAGAAGAGGCGCACCCAGAGCGUACACGUUGGGACCCGAAAGAUGGUGAACUAUGCCUGGUCAGGACGAAGUCAGGGGAAACCCUGAUGGAGGUCCGUAGCGAUUCUGACGUGCAAAUCGAUCGUCGGAACUGGGUAUAGGGGCGAAAGACUAAUC